Molecule: long non-coding RNA, 981 nt
Organism: Gallus gallus (chicken)
Lineage: Eukaryota; Metazoa; Chordata; Aves; Galliformes; Phasianidae
Source: Ensembl
CAGUGGUGGAAGCUUUCUUGCUGGAGACUUUCUUGCUGGACAUCCCUCCUUAGUGGAGGUCUUCCAAAGGCUAGAAACUGUCCAUCACACUGUAUGUGUAGUGAAGAUUCUCCUUGUAAGAAGUACGCUCAAAAAGAGUGCCCACAUCCAAGAAUUGGUGCUUAAACUCCAUAGAAAGGAGGUGCUAGCUGAAGGAGGUAUUGUGAAAGACUGCAGCCAAAGCUCCAUCUUGAUAACGUUUUUAUGGGGUGAAACUACAAAGAGUAACUCAGCAGUUGCCAGCAAGGCUAUGUUAGCAUGAGAGAAUAGCCAGAAGCAGGCAUGCCCAUCUACCUGCCCGGCUGCUCUCAGUUCCUUUGUCUCACAACUGGGCCUUGCUGCACCAAUGCCACAUUGAACUGCCAUCACCCACCACAGGUAUAGAUGGAUGUUUUGGGAUGCAGAGCCUGGCAAAGAGGACGCCAUCAUCCUGUGGAUUCAGAGAGUUGCAUCCCAGCUCAGGAUAGCUCUUGUCUCUGCUCUGCGGAAGUUUUUGGCACAAAUCCCCUGAACACAGGGAAGGAAAGCAGAAAGGAAUUGUCCCCAGUGAAGCUUGCAAGAUUCAGUCCUCCAGGAUCAAGCCCUCAAUUUGUACAUUAACAGAGUACUUCAGACUCUAGCAUAUUUAAUCUUCUGUAACUAAAAUUUUCCCAAUAGUAUCACAAAUACUUUAUGAAAAAUAAAUAUUUAGACAAGAUAAUGUAUAUUAAUGUAGAAUCUAUUUAACGUUGAUUCUUUCUUUCCAUUACAACUCAUCUAAUGCCAUGGGCUGAUUAGAUCAACUCGUAUACACAUCAGCAAGGCUUGCAACCGUCAGAUUUAUCCUUAGGGUACUAACUUCUAAAACUGUACCUUUUGGGAAUUAUGAAAUUUAAAUAAAAUGCUUUCUAUUUUCCAUUCAUCGUUCAACCUUCCAUUUCAAAAGAUAAAAUUAGCUUCAAU